RNAcentral lists this ribosomal RNA (482 nucleotides) under uncultured bacterium. Its description in RNAcentral is "bacterial SSU rRNA". It matches the Rfam family "Bacterial small subunit ribosomal RNA", at positions 30 to 507 of the family's 1533-position model. The record is from RNAcentral.
AUUGAACGCUGGCGGAAUGCUUUACACAUGCAAGUCGAACGGUAGAGGGGGCAACCCCUCGAGAGUGGCGAACGGGUGAGUAAUAUAUCGGAACGUGCCCAGUCGUGGGGGAUAACGUAGCGAAAGUUACGCUAAUACCGCAUACGAUCUAAGGAUGAAAGCGGGGGACUCGCAAGAGCCUCGCGCGAUUGGAGCGGCCGAUAUCAGAUUAGGUAGUUGGUGGGGUAAAGGCUCACCAAGCCAACGAUCUGUAGCUGGUCUGAGAGGACGACCAGCCACACUGGAACUGAGACACGGUCCAGACUCCUACGGGAGGCAGCAGUGGGGAAUUUUGGACAAUGGACGCAAGUCUGAUCCAGCCAUUCCGCGUGCAGGAUGAAGGCCCUCGGGUUGUAAACUGCUUUUGUACGGAACGAAAAGGUUUCUAUUAAUACUAGGAGCUCAUGACGGUACCGUAAGAAUAAGCACCGGCUAACUACGUG